Molecule: ribosomal RNA, 513 nt
Filed under: uncultured bacterium
Lineage: Bacteria
Description: bacterial SSU rRNA
Rfam family: Bacterial small subunit ribosomal RNA
Source: RNAcentral
CAGGACUAACGCUGGCGGCGUGCCUAACACAUGCAAGUCGAACGAAUCAUCUUUGUAGCAAUAUAGAAGAUGGUGAGUGGCGCACGGGUGAGUAAUACAUAGAUGAUCUGCCUUUCAGACUGGGACAACUCAGGGAAACUUGAGCUAAUACCAGAUAAGACCACAUGAAGGGAUUCACGUGACCAAAGGGUGAGCAAUCUCCUGCUGGAAGAUGAGUCUAUGUCCUAUCAGUUAGUUGGUGGGGUAAAGGCCUACCAAGACGAAGACGGGUAGCCGGCCUGAGAGGGUGAACGGCCACACUGGAACUGAGACACGGUCCAGACUCCUACGGGAGGCAGCAGUGAGGAAUUUUCCGCAAUGGGCGAAAGCCUGACGGAGCGACGCCCGCGUGAGGGAUGAAGGUUUUCGGAUCGUAAACCUCUUUUAUCAAGGAAAAAGGCUUUAAUGCGAAUAACAUUAAAGUUUGAUUGUACUUAAUGAAUAAGCCCCGGCUAACUACGUGCCAGCCGCCGC